UGUGGGGGUCUUAGCCCCCUCAAACCCUGGCCUUCCCACGCGCUUGAGGGGGUUUGCCCUCGCCUCCGCCCCUGCCUCCAAAUCCCUUUUUAACAUACCACAUUGUCCCGCAGAACACAAGGACGAGAAAUUGGGGAGGGGGAGGGGAUCCGGAGGCCACAGCCAGCAAUCAGGGCCGUCCCUCCGCCCGGCAAGGACACACACGUCGCGAGCCCGGCCUGAAAUGUGUUUCAUUAUCACAUAAAAGGCUCCCGUGGCGAAGGAGCCGAGAGGCAGGGCCGGGGGCCGAGUGGGGGACAAUGGAGACUGAAAGCGCUGCCCUAACCUGCUAUGUUUCGUAUCGCAAGCUCAUUGUGCGAGGGUCGUUUUAAACUACUUAGCGAGCCCCCCUCCACUGAUCCCAGCCGAUAAGAUAUAGUUCUGUCCGAAUACAUAAGAAGGAUGUCGGGGAGCCCGGCGCUUUCGGAGGCUUUUCUGUGCCUCUUGUGCCUUUCACACUCCGCUCCCGCCUCCGCCCCUCCCCCAGCCCGGGCGCCCAGCAUGCGGCUCGCACUGCGCCCUCCGCCCGUCGCCAGGACUCUUAAGUAUUGUAAGGUGUAGAGAUUCUGUUUUCCUCCCUCUCUUUCUCUUCUUCCUUUUCCGCGCGCUCUCCGCGCGCCGGUUUAAGCAACCGUGAUCUGUGAAUAAACAAAGUCAGUAAACAACCGAAAAAAACAUUCUAGAUCCGAAUUCCAGGAGGGUAAACUUUCCAUGCCACGUCACACUUCAGCAAAUUUGCACAGAUAUUAUAUUGCCUCCCACCUCCCUUCUUUUUUUUGCCAGGAUCCCAUUGUACUUAACUGAAUUUUAUAACGCUGAUCGAUAUCUUGGUAAAAUAUUCAUUUUUAAACUAGCGGGCAGUGAAAUCUUUGCUUUGUGUGCUAAAGUCAACAGUCGCUCCGUUUGAGCUUGAAUAAAUGCGCGGAUGCCUCGGCUCGGAGCAGUCGGCCACCUCCCUCCGUGCUCAGGAUGCUCCGCCACCCGCCGGCCGCAGCGCAGGUACAUGGUGGCUGCGGAGCAGCCCGAGAGUGGCGGCGCACCAGGCUCCUUGCCAUUGGCGCGCACGGGUUCGAGUCCAGUCCCGGAGUCCCCCCUGAAGCCCUCAGACCACGCAGCAGCAGG
Molecule: non-coding RNA, 1161 nt
Organism: Manis javanica (Malayan pangolin)
Lineage: Eukaryota; Metazoa; Chordata; Mammalia; Pholidota; Manidae
Source: RefSeq, a predicted model, not a curated record